RNAcentral lists this small nuclear RNA (117 nucleotides) under Octodon degus (degu). The record is from RNAcentral. Lineage: Eukaryota; Metazoa; Chordata; Mammalia; Rodentia; Octodontidae.
CCUUUGGAUUCCUACAGAUUCAAAAAAAAGGUCUACCAAGAUGGAAUGAAACAGAGAAGAUUAGCAUGGCCCCUGCACAAGGAUGACAUGCAAAUUCAUGAAGCAUUCCAUAUUUUU